Parasteatoda tepidariorum (common house spider) is the source of this 75-nucleotide non-coding RNA. The record is from the annotation of a RefSeq genome assembly. NCBI's taxonomy places the organism in Eukaryota, Metazoa, Arthropoda, Arachnida, Araneae, Theridiidae.
ACCACCGGCUAGCUCAAUUGAUAGAGCGCGAGACUCUUAAUCUCGGGAUCGUGGGUUCGAGUCCCACGUUGGGCG